UUCAGAGAAGCCACUGCCCACAUGUGCUCUCUUGCUUCCUUAUUGGUGGUGUUCAGGAGGAGAGGACUGGUUCCUCUCUGGAAAGCUGGGUGCUAUGACAGAUGAGACAUUUAUGCAAGAAAAUAAAUCCUGCACCUUUGAUGUACUGCUUGAAACUCUUUGGACGUGAAAUUGUAAGGAUUCUGUGACUAUGGAGAGUACUACCCUUUAAGAAAAUCAUCAGAAGAAAGGAAACUGAGAACACAUAGAAUCUUAAUGGUGUACCAAACCAAAUGUCGACUGGAACUCAACCAAAAACUAAGGUGUUUUCUAACGAGCAAAGCAAGGAAAGAGCAGAAAAUUCUGAAAACCAAACCUUGAUUAUGUUGUCCACCAAGUACUGCACUGAAUCCACACGAAUGAAGUGACAGAUACUCAAC
RNAcentral lists this long non-coding RNA (419 nucleotides) under Cavia porcellus (domestic guinea pig). RNAcentral describes it as "lncRNA (ENSCPOG00000036497.1)". Lineage: Eukaryota; Metazoa; Chordata; Mammalia; Rodentia; Caviidae. The record is from RNAcentral.